GGCCACAGCAGGCAGGGGCUUGGCAGUGUGGGAGGAGACACCACAGAAGACAGGGAAGAACUACCAGGCCUUGGUUCAUCUCCACACUGGCGAGAGAGGAUGUGCAGGGAAGUAUCGGCUGCCAGAUAGGGAGCUGAGACUCCAAGAAGCUAAAUAAGGUGUCCAACACCACAGAGCAUGGAGCAAAGGACACGGGACUGCAAAUCUUCCUAACUCGUGUGCUCAUCUGGCUAUCUCACCAGGGCCUUAAAUUUAAUAUAUCCCAAACUGAACUCAUCUUUAUCCCUUCCCACUUUGCACUCCUCAAAUGUCCUUGUUUAAAAUAGUUACCUUUAUCUUUCCUAACCCAGAAACUCAAAACCUGGCAUCAUCUUUGACUUCUCUCUUUACCUUCACAUUCAACAGUUUCCAAGACUUAAAGGCUUUAUUUGUAGGAUCUCUACCACUGAUCCUCUACAGUUUCACACCUACAUCCCAUUCUCGUUCCCAAAUCCCCAUAACUCCUCUCCUGGCCCAUCCCUUAACACUGAAAUCCUGGCUUGGAAAAUAUGGUCACAUUCACAGCAGCUGUCCCCAAGAAGGAAGCCAAG
RNAcentral lists this long non-coding RNA (590 nucleotides) under Pan troglodytes (chimpanzee). Its description in RNAcentral is "long non-coding RNA NONPTRT017014". Lineage: Eukaryota; Metazoa; Chordata; Mammalia; Primates; Hominidae. The record is from RNAcentral.